RNAcentral lists this non-coding RNA (181 nucleotides) under Candidatus Scatosoma pullicola. RNAcentral describes it as "6S RNA". It matches the Rfam family "6S / SsrS RNA". From Rfam's summary of the family: E. coli 6S RNA was the first non coding RNA to be sequenced, but its function was unknown until recently. It consists of 184 nucleotides that fold into an extended hairpin structure with a large single-stranded internal bulge. The 6S RNA specifically associates with RNA polymerase holoenzyme containing the sigma70 specificity factor. The record is from RNAcentral. Lineage: Bacteria; Bacillati; Bacillota; Clostridia.
UUGAAUCUGCGGUGUACGGAGUCCGGGUCAAUCGUAAUCCACAUUAUUGAAUAGGGAGCCGUCAUUCGUGGCGAUAGGCAAGGUCUGUAUUUAUACGGAAAGUCCGAUGCGUCAAGAUGCGACACCCACCUGCUGAAAGCGGGUUAGCUUUUAUCCGGAAUGCGGCACAGGCGGAUUCCCA